CCUACGGGAGGCAGCAGUGGGGAAUAUUGCACAAUGGGGGAAACCCUGAUGCAGCGACGCCGCGUGAGUGAAGAAGUAAUUCGUUAUGUAAAGCUCUAUCAGCAGGGAAGAAAAUGACGGUACCUGCGUAAGAAGCCCCGGCUAACUACGUGCCAGCAGCCGCGGUAAUACGUAGGGGGCAAGCGUUAUCCGGAUUUACUGGGGGUAAAGGGAGCGUAGACGGCAGUGCAAGUCUGGAGUGAAAGGCGGGGGCACAACCCCCGGACUGCUCUGGAAACUGUACGGCUGGAGUGCAGGAGAGGUAAGUGGAAUUCCUAGUGUAGCGGUGAAAUGCGUAGAUAUUAGGAGGAACACCAGUGGCGAAGGCGGCUUACUGGACUGUAACUGACGUUGAGGCUCGAGAGCGUGGGGAGCAAACAGGAUUAGAUACCCCAGUAGUC
Molecule: ribosomal RNA, 440 nt
Filed under: uncultured bacterium
Lineage: Bacteria
Description: partial 16S ribosomal RNA
Rfam family: Bacterial small subunit ribosomal RNA
Source: RNAcentral